UAAAACAUAACAUGCCAAGCUAAAAUUAACAAAAACUUUUCGUGCUCACCGUACUUUCAUCACCUUAAAAAACAGCGUAAUUCGAAACAAUGAAACCGAAAACGGAAGCAAAGUUACACCAGCUGACUGCCGUCUGGACAAGCUAAUGUAGAGCCCCAUAGACAUUUGCAUGGAACGCAUUUCGAGGAUGGAGGGGAUUCAGCUUGCCCAGUUGCUAAUGAACCAGGACCGCCAUAAACACUAACGCACACGAUGUUUAAAGCACUCACGUCCGUGUAAUUAUGCAGACCGGAACAAGCAAGUGGCAGGGGCAAAAACGAGUCCUGCAAACAAAGGAACGAGCUGGCACACACUUACAUACACUAAUACUAGCGAAAGCUCACACACACCACCGCCCCUGCACGUGUCUCACAUUUGCAAACACACGCCGAGAUUUAAGCGCUCGGAAAAAAAGGCAUUUAGCUCGGGAUAGUUCAGAGCGCGUGGGUGCUUCAAAUAGAAUGGGCUGGAAAAGGAGUUUUCGGAGAAAGAGACAUUUGGCUUGAUUUCUGUUUAGUUCGGCGCAGAAAUAUUCUGAAUAUUUGUCUAAUUGUUAAGCAGUUUGAAUAAAAUGCUCUAUGUCCUAGA
This is a long non-coding RNA of Drosophila elegans, 627 nucleotides long. RefSeq lists it as uncharacterized. Lineage: Eukaryota; Metazoa; Arthropoda; Insecta; Diptera; Drosophilidae. The transcript is spliced from 2 exons. The record is from RefSeq and is a predicted model, not a curated record.